UGUAUUCACUUUCAGAUUAGCUUUUCUCAGAAGAAAAUCCAAAAUGAUCUGAUACCUAUAGCAGAGAUAUCAAAAUAAGAGGGGUAUCAUCUUAUGACCAUAUAGUUUUAGUUGGCUAAGGAAGAAUAUGGAUUACAAGAGCGGCAAGGACACGAUAUUCAGUUUGGAGAGUUAGUGAUAAUCAGCCAGAGAGAAGGGUCUUUCUUUAUUCAUUGAUCUUCUUGUUUAGUGCAGUUCUUCCACUACCCAGUGCCAUGGUGCGGACAUUGAAGGUCCAGCAGAAGUUCGCAUUGAAUGGGCAAUAUUUGUGAGCAACCACAUAUAGUUCCUCUAUUUAUAAGUAUAGGUUAAUGCUAUGGAUAUGGUAUUUUGUAUGGAUAUAGUAGGAAUCAAGAUUGGUAAACUAUGUAAUUACUAUUGAAUAUUCAAGUUUUAUGAAAAACAAUUUU
Prunus mume (Japanese apricot) is the source of this 449-nucleotide non-coding RNA. The record is from RefSeq and is a predicted model, not a curated record. NCBI's taxonomy places the organism in Eukaryota, Viridiplantae, Streptophyta, Magnoliopsida, Rosales, Rosaceae.